Long non-coding RNA from Gorilla gorilla gorilla (western lowland gorilla), 2854 nucleotides. RefSeq lists it as uncharacterized. The transcript has 3 exons. The record is from RefSeq and is a predicted model, not a curated record. NCBI's taxonomy places the organism in Eukaryota, Metazoa, Chordata, Mammalia, Primates, Hominidae.
CACCUGGCCGGGACAGAGCGAAUGCCAGUGAAUCCCAGGGCGCCCUCUCCCGCGCGUUGGUUCUCUAGCCCUCCUUCCCUGGGAGGGGUGGGAUUGGGAGUGUUCUGUUUUCAUUACUGCACCCCUUCCCCUAAAGACAACGGGACUGCCCUCCUCCACAGCGCCUUACCUCAAACAGGGGACCGAUCUUGUUCUUCUCCAGGUUGGACACCUAAUUUGCACAUCAGGACUGCCAUGGACCAUGGUGCAAUGAAGGUGAAGACUGGAGCACUCAUCACCCAUGGUGGGAUCCCAAGGACUCUCCACUCUACUGAGGGAAUACCACCAGUCUACCACUGGGUCUCACUUUGUUGCCCAGGCUGCAGUAUAGUGCCCUGAUCACAGCUUGCUGCAACCUCAAGCUCCCAUGCUCAAGCAAUCUUCCUGCCUCAACUUCCCAAGUAGCUGAGACCACAGGCAUGCUCCAUGACACCUGAACUCCUGAACUCAAGCGAUCCUCCUUCCUCAGCCUUCCAAAGUGCUGGGAUUACAGGCAUGAGCCCCUGAACCCUGCCUACCCUCUGUUUCUAUGUGGUAUUUGUCUUUCUAAGCCUGGCCUAUUUCAUGUAACAUAAUUUCCUCCAGAUUUAUCCAUAUUGUCUCAAAUGACCAGAUUUCUUUCUUUUUUAAGGCUGAAUAGUAUUCCAUUGUGCAUAUAUACUACAUUUUAUUUAUCCAUUCAUCUGUUGAUGGACACUUAGGUUGAUUCCGUAUCUUGGCUAUUGUGAAUAAGCUGCAAUGAACAUAGGAGUGCAGAUACUGCUUUGACAUAUUCAUUUCAUUUUCUUUGGAUAUGGAUCCAGAAGUGGAAUUGGGCUGGAAUAUAGGCAGUUCUAUUUUUAAUAUUUUGAGGAAACUCCAUAUUACUUUCCAUAAUAGCUGUGCUAAUUUACAUUCCCACCGCCAAUGUAUAAGGGCUUCCUUUUCUCCACAUCCUCUCCAACACUGGUUAUCUCUUGUCUUUUUGAUAUGUUUUCUCUUCUCUGUAAAGCUAUUGGUGGUAGCAUUUUAGUUUUUCCAAAUUUUUUUAAUCAAACUUUUGAAACGUAUAGCUGAAAUGAAAGAAUUUUAGCAUGAACGCUAAUAUACACCCAGCACCUAUAUUCUUGCUUUUUCAUGUAUUUACUCCUGAAUUAAUAUAUUACUUGUUAUAUGCUUUUGAAAGUAAACUGCAAACAAGUGCAUUCUUCUCCUAGAUCUUUCCACAUGCUCUGCCAUUAAUUAGAGUUCAAUGUUCAAUUUUUUCCUUUUGAUGUACAAUUAAUACACAAUUAAUUUACACACACAUUUUACUUAGUUCUGAAAAAUGUAUAUACUUUUAUAACUCAAAGCCCAUCAUUAUAGAACAUUACUAUCACCCUAGCAAAAUCUUUUGUGUCCCUUCUCAAUCACCAAUCCUGACCACACCCCAAGAAAACUACUGUUCAAAUUUUUCUCCGUCAUUGAUUGGCUUUGUCUGUUUUAGAACUUCAUAAAAAUAAAAUACUGUAGUAAAUUAUGUACAAUUUUACGACUAGCUUCCUUUGCUCAAUAUAAUGUUUUCGAGAUUUAUUCAUAUUGCUGCAUGUCAAUAGUUGGUUCUUUUUAUUGCUGCAUAUUUCAUUGAAUAAAAAUGCCAAAGCUUGUUUAUUCAUUCUUGUCUCACAUCAAAGUAUCUGGGGGAUGUUUUCCACUUUUGGCUAUUAGAAAUGAAACAGAUUUGAAUAUUGUUGUACAGGCUUUUUAUGCAUAUAUAUGCCUUCUUUGAGUAAAUACCCAGAAGUUAUGUUACUGGAUCAUAGGUUAAUAUAUGUUUAGUUUUAGAAGAAAAUGCUAGCUCUUUUUUCCAAAAUAUUGUCCCGUUUUACACUCCCAGCAGUAAUGUAUGAGAUUUCCAGUUGCUGCACAUCCUUACCAAAAAUUAGCUUUUCGAAUUUUAGUCAUUCUAAUGGGUGUGUAGUGGUAGCUCUAUGUAGUUCUAAUUUGCAUUUCUCUAAUGACUAAUGAUGUUAAACAUAUUUUUAUGUACUUGUUUCAUGUACUUGUUGAUAUGUCUAUUCAAUUCCUUUUACCGUUUUUAUGGAGCUGUUUUUUUAUUAUUGAGUUGUAGGAUUUCUUUAUAUAUGCUGCAUACCAGGCCUUUGUUAUAUACAUGCUUUGCAAUGUACAUUGUCUUAAAAUCUGUGGCUUGCCUGUUCAAUUCAUUAGUGGUGUUUUGUUAAGCAAUUUUUAAUUUUGAUGAAGUGUAACUUAUUCAUGUUUUAUUAUGGUUAUUUCUUUAUGUUUCAGGUCCCAAAUUUUGCUUUCUCACAAAUCACAAACAUUAUCCUAUGUUUUCCUUCAAAAAUUAUAUGGUUUUAUGUAUUUUCAAUCUCAAAAUAUUCUCUAAUGUUUUGCUGAUUUAUUUACUAAAGAAAUUUGAGGGAUUUGCUAUAAUGUUAGGGAUUUUUCUAGAUGCCACAUUGUUAUUGAUUUCUAAUUUAAUUAUAUUAUGCUCAGAAAACAUAUUCUGUAUGCUUUCAACACUUUUAAAGUUAUUGAGACUUGUUGGAGGGUCCAGCAUAUAAUCUAUCUCAGUGAACACACUGUAUUUACUUGAAAAGAUGUAUAUUCUGCAGUUAUUCAGUGUAGUGUUCUAUAAAAUCAUUUAGGUCAAGGUGGUUGAUAGUUUGUUCAAAUCCAUCUACGUCUUCAUUAAUUUUAUUUAUCUGGCUCUAUCAAUUGCUAAAAGAAUGUUGUUAAAAAUUGCCAACUAUGAUUUUAGAAUCAUUUAUUUCUCCCUUUGAUUAAUGAAUGUUGUUUCAUGAAUUUUGAAGCUAUUCAGAGACAAAAAAAA